This 88-nucleotide transfer RNA is filed under the name Corallina officinalis. RNAcentral's name for it is "tRNA-Ser". It matches the Rfam family "tRNA". From Rfam's summary of the family: Transfer RNA (tRNA) molecules are approximately 80 nucleotides in length. Their secondary structure includes four short double-helical elements and three loops (D, anti-codon, and T loops). Further hydrogen bonds mediate the characteristic L-shaped molecular structure. tRNAs have two regions of fundamental functional importance: the anti-codon, which is responsible for specific mRNA codon recognition, and the 3' end, to which the tRNAs corresponding amino acid is attached (by aminoacyl-tRNA synthetases). tRNAs cope with the degeneracy of the genetic code in two manners: having more than one tRNA (with a specific anti-codon) for a particular amino acid; and 'wobble' base-pairing, i.e. permitting non-standard base-pairing at the 3rd anti-codon position. Lineage: Eukaryota; Rhodophyta; Florideophyceae; Corallinales; Corallinaceae. The record is from RNAcentral.
GAAGAGGUGGCUGAGUGGUUUAAGGUAACAGUUUGCUAAACUGUCAUACCUAUCAUAGGUAUCAUAGGUUCGAAUCCUAUCCUCUUCA